Molecule: ribosomal RNA, 539 nt
Filed under: uncultured bacterium
Lineage: Bacteria
Description: bacterial SSU rRNA
Rfam family: Bacterial small subunit ribosomal RNA
Source: RNAcentral
AAUAGAUACCCGGGUAGUCCACGCCGUAAACGAUGAAUACUAGGUGUAGGGGUUGUCAUGACCUCUGUGCCGCCGCUAACGCAUUAAGUAUUCCGCCUGGGGAGUACGGUCGCAAGAUUAAAACUCAAAGGAAUUGACGGGGGCCCGCACAAGCAGCGGAGCAUGUGGUUUAAUUCGAAGCAACGCGAAGAACCUUACCUAGACUUGACAUCUCCUGAAUUACCCUUAAUCGGGGAAGCCCUUCGGGGCAGGAAGACAGGUGGUGCAUGGUUGUCGUCAGCUCGUGUCGUGAGAUGUUGGGUUAAGUCCCGCAACGAGCGCAACCCUUAUUGUUAGUUGCUACCAUUUAGUUGAGCACUCUAGCGAGACUGCCCGGGUUAACCGGGAGGAAGGUGGGGAUGACGUCAAAUCAUCAUGCCCCUUAUGUCUAGGGCUACACACGUGCUACAAUGGCUGGUACAGAGAGAUGCUAAACCGUGAGGUGGAGCCAAACUUUAAAACCAGUCUCAGUUCGGAUUGUAGGCUGAAACUCGCCUACA